AGACGAAGAUGAAGAUGAAGAUGACUAUGAAGGUGAGGAUGAUGAAGAUGAGCAGUCCAAUGGAGAGGCAGAAGUCGAUCGUAAGGGAAAAGGGAUUUUAAGGGAUGACAAGGGGAAGGGAAAGUUGAUUGAGGACUCUGACGAUGAUGAUUCUAGUGAUUUUGAGAGCGAAUCUGAUGUUGACACUGAUACUGACCUUUCCGACGAUCUACUGGCCGAAGUCGAUUUGGGUAACAUUAUCCCCUCCAGGACUCGACGGCGUACCCAUCAAUCUGGCCUUAAGAUAUCUGAUGAUCCCGUUAAAGGUGAUUAGUAGAAAUGCGUGUUAUUUUUAUGUUUUACAGUUAUUAUUUAGAUAAGACAAGUCUUUCAACCUCGUAGUAGCAAUAGUUGAUGUUGUAUUUCACUUAACUAAUAUCUCUUACAAUUGGUUUCUUGCUCUUGUUUACUUCCCUCAUAUUAUAUUGCUAUCUGUAGGCUGUAGCAUCUUCUAUGUACACUUUGAGAUUGCUAUA
This 515-nucleotide unclassified non-coding RNA is filed under the name Hevea brasiliensis (rubber tree). Lineage: Eukaryota; Viridiplantae; Streptophyta; Magnoliopsida; Malpighiales; Euphorbiaceae. The record is from RNAcentral.